This 524-nucleotide ribosomal RNA is filed under the name Mesarchaea bellavista. Its description in RNAcentral is "eukaryotic LSU rRNA". It matches the Rfam family "Eukaryotic large subunit ribosomal RNA", at positions 664 to 1139 of the family's 3401-position model. Lineage: Eukaryota; Metazoa; Arthropoda; Arachnida; Araneae; Mecysmaucheniidae. The record is from RNAcentral.
GACCAAGGAGUCUAACAUGUGCGCGAGUCAAUGGGUCUUGAUUAUGCCCAAAGGCGCAACGAAAGUGAAAAUGCCGGUCCACUCAGGGCCUGGCGCGGUGUUGGGACUCUCCGUCCUUGGGGCGCGAGAAGCACCAACGACCCGUCCUAUCCGAUUCAUCGGUUGGGCGGAGUCUGAGCGCACACGUUGGGACCCGAAAGAUGGUGAACUAUGCCUGGGCAGGACGAAGUCAGAGGAAACUCUGGUGGAGGUCCGUAGCGGUUCUGACGUGCAAAUCGAUCGUCAGACCUGGGUAUAGGGGCGAAAGGCUAAUCGAACCAUCUAGUAGCUGGUUCCCUCCGAAGUUUCCCUCAGGAUAGCUGGCGCUCGGAGGAUUCAGUCUCAUCCGGUCAAGCGAAUGAUUAGAGGCCUUGGGGCCGAAACGACCUCAACCUAUUCUCAAACUUUAAAUGGGUGAGAAGUUCGGCUUGCGUGGAGAGAAGCCCGGACGUUCUUGGAUGCGAGUGCCAAGUGGGCCACUUUUG